GCGGCGCAGGGACGACGUCGUCGAUGGAGGUGUGGAUAUUGGUGACAGAGAUCACCGGUGGGGGAAGAGGGGAGGAGAUGCGUGAGUGAGGAAGGGAGAAUAAGGAUGCGACCAUUUUUUAUUUUUUUUAGUUGAGGGUAAAUUUGUACUUUUGCACAAAAACUGGCCAGUUUUUAAUGUUUUUAUUUCAUAGGCCAAAUUUUAAUUUUACUAUAUGAAAGUGGACACUUCUAUAUAUUAAC
RNAcentral lists this long non-coding RNA (242 nucleotides) under Salvia miltiorrhiza (redroot sage). RNAcentral's name for it is "long non-coding RNA (SMIL_LNC003401)". The record is from RNAcentral. Lineage: Eukaryota; Viridiplantae; Streptophyta; Magnoliopsida; Lamiales; Lamiaceae.